GACGAACGCUGGCGGCGUGCUUAACACAUGCAAGUCGAACGAAGAGCGAUGGAAGCUUGCUUCUAUCAAUCUUAGUGGCGAACGGGUGAGUAACGCGUAAUCAACCUGCCCUUCAGAGGGGGACAACAGUUGGAAACGACUGCUAAUACCGCGUACGAUCUAAUCUCGGCAUCGAGGAUAGAUGAAAGGUGGCCUCUACAUGUAAGCUAUCACUGAAGGAGGGGAUUGCGUCUGAUUAGCUAGUUGGAGGGGUAACGGCCCACCAAGGCGAUGAUCAGUAGCCGGUCUGAGAGGAAGGACGGCCACAUUGGGACUGAGACACGGCCCAGACUCCUACGGGAGGCAGCCGUGGGGAAUCUUCCGCAAUGGACGGAAGUCUGACGGAGCAACGCCGCGGGAGGGAUGACGGCCGUCGGGUUGUAAAGCUCUGUUAAUCGGGACGAAAGGCCUUCUUGCGAAUAGUGAGAAGGAUUGACGGUACCGGAAUAGAAAGCCACGGCUAACUACGUG
RNAcentral lists this ribosomal RNA (510 nucleotides) under uncultured bacterium. RNAcentral's name for it is "partial 16S ribosomal RNA". It matches the Rfam family "Bacterial small subunit ribosomal RNA", at positions 28 to 507 of the family's 1533-position model. The record is from RNAcentral.